GAUGAACGCUGGCGGCGUGCUUAACACAUGCAAGUCGAACGAAGCACUUUAUUUGAUUUCCUUCGGGACUGAUUAUUUUGUGACUGAGUGGCGGACGGGUGAGUAACGCGUGGGUAACCUGCCUUGUACAGGGGGAUAACAGUUGGAAACGGCUGCUAAUACCGCAUAAGCGCACGGCAUCGCAUGAUUCAGUGUGAAAAGCUCCGGUGGUAUAAGAUGGACCCGCGUUGGAUUAGCUAGUUGGUAAGGUAACGGCCCACCAAGGCGACGAUACAUAGCCGACCUGAGAGGGUGACCGGCCACAUUGGGACUGAGACACGGCGCAAACUCCUACGGGAGGCAGCAGUGGGGAAUAUUGCAAAAUGGGCGAAAGCCUGAUGCAGCGACGCCGCGUGAGCGAAGAAGUAUUUCGGUAUGUAAAGCUCUAUAAGCAGGGAAGAUAAUGACGGUACCUGACUAAGAAGCACCGGCUAAAUACGUG
RNAcentral lists this ribosomal RNA (481 nucleotides) under uncultured bacterium. Its description in RNAcentral is "partial 16S ribosomal RNA". It matches the Rfam family "Bacterial small subunit ribosomal RNA", at positions 28 to 507 of the family's 1533-position model. The record is from RNAcentral.